UACGAAGGGUGCAAGCGUUACUCGGAAUUACUGGGCGUAAAGCGUGCGUAGGUGGUUCGUUAAGUCUGAUGUGAAAGCCCUGGGCUCAACCUGGGAAUGGCAUUGGAUACUGGCGACCUAGAGUGCGGUAGAGGGUAGCGGAAUUCCCGGUGUAGCAGUGAAAUGCGUAGAUAUCGGGAGGAACAUCCGUGGCGAAGGCGGCUACCUGGACCAGCACUGACACUGAGGCACGAAAGCGUGGGGAGCAAACAGG
RNAcentral lists this ribosomal RNA (253 nucleotides) under uncultured bacterium. Its description in RNAcentral is "partial 16S ribosomal RNA". It matches the Rfam family "Bacterial small subunit ribosomal RNA", at positions 524 to 776 of the family's 1533-position model. The record is from RNAcentral.